CCUACGGGUGGCAGCAGUGAGGAAUAUUGGUCAAUGGGCGCGAGCCUGAACCAGCCAAGUAGCGUGGAGGAUGACUGCCCUACGGGUUGUAAACUUCUUUUAUAAAGGAAUAAAGUGAUGCACGUGUGCCUUUUUGUAUGUACUUUAUGAAUAAGGAUCGGCUAACUCCGUGCCAGCAGCCGCGGUAAUACGGAGGAUCCGAGCGUUAUCCGGAUUUAUUGGGUUUAAAGGGAGCGUAGAUGGGUUGUUAAGUCAGUUGUGAAAGUUUGCGGCUCAACCGUAAAAUUGCAAUUGAUACUGGCAGUCUUGAGUACAGUAGAGGUGGGCGGAAUUCGUGGUGUAGCGGUGAAAUGCUUAGAUAUCACGAAGAACUCCGAUUGCGAAGGCAGCCUACUAAACUGCAACUGACAUUGAUGCUCGAAAGUGUGGGUAUCAAACAGGAUUAGAUACCCGGGUAGUC
RNAcentral lists this ribosomal RNA (460 nucleotides) under uncultured bacterium. RNAcentral describes it as "partial 16S ribosomal RNA". It matches the Rfam family "Bacterial small subunit ribosomal RNA", at positions 338 to 795 of the family's 1533-position model. The record is from RNAcentral.